Molecule: unclassified non-coding RNA, 164 nt
Organism: Ictidomys tridecemlineatus (thirteen-lined ground squirrel)
Lineage: Eukaryota; Metazoa; Chordata; Mammalia; Rodentia; Sciuridae
Source: Ensembl
CUGACAGUCCCUGGGGCUCUGGGCCUCCAUUGAUCCACUGAGCAUGCUCAGCACAGGCAGGGCAGUGUGAGUCUGUCUACUGCCAGUGUAUCCCAGCCCGGAUUCAGCUCUAAGGGACACAGGAGAGCAGCUCAGCUUUCAUAUUCCACCAUUCCUUGGUUUCU